This 1542-nucleotide long non-coding RNA is filed under the name Pan paniscus (pygmy chimpanzee). Its description in RNAcentral is "lncRNA (ENSPPAG00000044491.1)". Lineage: Eukaryota; Metazoa; Chordata; Mammalia; Primates; Hominidae. The record is from RNAcentral.
CCUUUGUUAAUGACAAAUGCUCAACAUUGUCACUGAGUUGAAGAGUGUGAGAUGAUGUUGUUAGAAAUUGCACAAGAUGUUCUAGAAUCAAUACUGAAAUCCACCUUGUAAUAUCUGAGAUGAAGAAAUUAAUUUUCACUCACAAAUCAAGCAACUGUCCAUCUCCUACAGCUUUCAGAAUUUUUUUAUUAUUUUAAAAGGAUGUUUGUCCAGACAUAAGGAAAUAUAGACGUUCAAAUGAAAAAAGCUAGUUUUUGUUUUUUUGUGUCUUUGUUUUGAGACAGAGUCUCGCUCUUUCGCCCAGGCUGGAGUGCAGUGGCGCGAUCUCUGCUCACUGCAAGCUCCGCCUCCCGGGUUCACGCCAUUCUCCUGCCUCAGCCUCCCAAGUAGCUGGGAUUACAGGUGCCCGCCACCACGCCCGGCUAAUUUUUUGUAUUUUCAGUAGAGACGGGAUUUCACCGUGUUAGCCAGGAUGGUCUCGAUCUCCUGACCUCGUGAUCCGCCUGCCUCGGCCUCCCAAAGUGCUGGGAUUACAGGCGUGAGCCACCGCACCCGGCCGAAAAAAGCUAGUUUUAAAUGGCCAAAUCAGUCUCAAGUUUUAAUUAACCUUUUAGCAAUUAUCUUAGAAAAUCUUUAAGAUUUUAACAUUCCUUGUAAUUUGGAGUUUUUAAGAGCUCAUUUAGAGGCCCCGCUGUCUCAGGCAGCAGUGAAAUGUGUUGUUUAGCAGGUGAUUUGAAGGCUGGGUGGCCAGCAUGCACCCUGGUGUUGGUCCCAUGUCCAUGGCUUAAUAGCUGUGUCCAUCAUUUUUGUCAGGCCUGAUGAUUACUCCAUGAUCACCACAAAAUGUUAACUGGUCUCCUGUGUCUCCACACCUCUUAGGCAUUAAAAAAAGAAGGAUUGUUUAUUUUUAGAAUGAAUAAGUCUGGCUAGCCUGAUUUCUAGUUGACAGUGAUAUUGUUUUGUCACAAUGAAUACCUCAACAGGAAUUCCAAAUCCUAGAACUUGCUUUGGACUCAACACAUCUAACCACUCUUCAGCUGAUAUCCACUUGCUGACAAAUGAAUCUCUCUGGCCCCUGGACUGUGCCCUGAAACACAGCUUAAAACAUGAGGGAACUGAGAGUCCAGCACCAAUGAAUGUGACACACAGAGGCCCAAGUCUUGGAAGAGGAAGCAGAAAUCAAAACUGCUCCAGAGCACAUCUGGAAUAAACAAGCAAAGCUCAUCUUCCUUUAUUUUGUGUUUUGUAACACUGAGCAAUUUGAUUAAAACAAAUCAGCAGGACAAAAAAUGAAGUUGCUUUUCUGUGGGGAGACAAAAUCAAUGAGAAGAAUCAAGGUUGAGUAAAUAUCUUAUGGAUACUCAGGGGAGAUAAUAUUCCAAUUUCCAGAAUUUAAAGGAAAAUUUUUAGAAUUAGUUGUUUUCUAAACAUAAAGUUACUUUUAUUUUGUACCUUAAAUGACAUUGAAAGUAUGGGGCACAUGUAAGAGUAAAUAGUUCACACCUAAGAAGGUCCCAAAAGUGCUUAUAAUAUGUUUUUUAC